Molecule: ribosomal RNA, 220 nt
Filed under: uncultured bacterium
Lineage: Bacteria
Description: partial 16S ribosomal RNA
Rfam family: Bacterial small subunit ribosomal RNA
Source: RNAcentral
UACGUAGGGGGCAAGCGUUGUCCGGAUUUAUUGGGCGUAAAGAGCGUGUAGGCGGCCAUACAGGUCAGCUGUGAAAACUCGAGGCUCAACCUCGAGACGUCGGUUGAAACCGUUUGGCUAGAGUCCGGAAGAGGAGAGUGGAAUUCCCGGUGUAGGCGGUGAAAUGCGCAGAUAUCGGGAAGAACACCCGUGGCGAAGGCGGCUCUCUGGGGACGGUACU